AUGUUGCUACUUGGGCUCCUGUUGGGCCUAAGGAAAAUCACGGCAGGACAACUACAAUUUUUGGUGGACAAGAUGGCAGAUAGACUCCCCGUCUGGAAGGCCAGAUUGCUAUACCGUGCUGGCCGCCUAGAACUUGUCAACACCACUUCGGCAUCGAUGCUAAUUCACGCCAUGAUGGCGAUGGACCUACCCAUCAAGACUCUGGAAGCUGCUAACAAAGUUUGCAGAAGUUUUCUAUGGAAGGGCCAUCGGGACGUGCAUGGAGGGCACUGCUUGGUGGCCUGGGACCAUGUUUGCUUACCAAAGGAGUACGACGAACUCGGUGUGCCCAACCUGCACCUACUCAACACGACUCUGAGAUCGCGAUGGCCAUGGCUUGCACGAACUAACCUAGGCAAACCAUGGUUUGAAUUCAACAUAUAA
Molecule: ribosomal RNA, 423 nt
Filed under: Triticum aestivum (bread wheat)
Lineage: Eukaryota; Viridiplantae; Streptophyta; Magnoliopsida; Poales; Poaceae
Description: partial small subunit ribosomal RNA
Source: RNAcentral